AUCCCUAGUCUUGGGAUUAUAAUCAUUGGACUAAUUCAUCUCACCUGGGAGAUGGGAUAAAAUAAUACCAAGUUGGAAACAAUGAAGAAACUCAUAAAUUUAAUUUUUAUCAUAGUAGUGGAAACAAUGAAGAAACUCAUAAAUUUAUUUUUUAUCAUAGUAGUGGAAACAAUGAAACUCAUGGAAAUGAAGUAAUGAGAUUUCAAGGAUAACGGAGGGAUAUCAUGACACUCGGAAUGUAAUACAUGAACACUUCACCACUUUCAUGUGUAAUUGAAGGCAGAAUUCACUUAUUGAAAAGAUUAAUCAGAUUUGAAAAACCUUGCCUGGGGAGAACAAAUAGAAAUUAGUUUUACGGACCUUAAUCGCUCUAAUAGAUCCAAAGGAAAAACCCAAAUUUUAAAGAUCCCCCAAAUCCUCAUUUGAACCCUUGAGAAGGGUUUUCUUGAAAACCCUAUGUUUUAGAGUAGAAUCUCAUUAAGAACCCAUAUACGAGUGUAAGAAUAGAGAAUAGUCGUGCUAGGGCUUGGAGAAGUGAAGAAUGCGAUAAAAAUGUGAAGUAGUGAAACUUUCCAUCACCUACUGUACAAAGAUGAAAAGAAAUGCCAUGACCAUCUUUCUGCUCUUUGUGAUAUUCUAUACUAAACUUCUUUGUUUUAAUGAAAUGUUUCUGAUACCUAAGAGCUCAACAUUUCAGUUACCAUAGUUUCAGACAUGGUGCUACUUAUCCACACCUAGACUUGUUGUAUUGUUAAACCUUAGAUCUGUCAUUUGUUGCAUUGUUAACUUAAAGCCUAGCUUGUGGAAUGCAUACUUCAGUUGUAGAUUAUGAAUACUUCAGUUGUAGAGUUCGGUUGCUUCUUUUAGUGACCAUUAUUUUAGAAAGAACUUGAUCAGAUACUUUGUUGCUCCAUUAUUUACAAUUCACCUAGCUUGUUAUCCUUACGCUUCACGAAGGUAUAUUUUAUUGUUUUAUCAGAGCAGAGAAGACUUCAAUUCUGUCUGAUCUAAUCAGGAAAACACAUGCUCAAGAAAUGAAAUGGAUUAUAAUGAUAAUUCUCAAAGAUCUGAAGUUGGGAAUUAGUGAAAAGAGCAUCUUUUACUAAUUCCAUCCAGAUGCAGAGGACUUGCUCAAUGUCACAUGCGAUUUUAAACUAGUUUGUGAAAAGUUGAGGGACAGAAGUCAACGGCAUAAACACCAGGCGAACCCGUCUCGAUGCGACACUAGUGCGGGCGCGGGUGCGGGGUGUGUGUCGAAUUCGGUCAAUCCAAUUCGGACACUUUGACCGAAGCCGAGAAAAGAUUUGGGGAAGAAAAAAUCAGUUUCCAACGACGUAAAGAGCACAAAGCUUGAAAAAGUACAUAGAAGAGAAGAAAGAAGAGAAAAUCAGUUUUCGGCGACGUAAAGAGAACAAAGCUUGAAAAAGUACAAAGAAGAGAAGAAAGAAGAGAAAAUCAGUUUCUGACGACAUAAAGAGGACAAAGCUUGAAAAAGUAUAGAGAAGAGAAGAAAGAAGAGAAAAUCAGUUUUCGGCGACGGCGACGUAAAGAGGACAAAGUUGAAAAAGUACAAAGAAGAGAAGAAAGAAGAGUUUUUUCUUGAAAGAGUAAAGGAAAUACAGAGUCUUGUUUUUUAUCUUUCUUGAAAAUAUAUGUACACAAUUACAUACACGGUCUCUUGAAAAAAAGAAAGCUCAAAAAGUCUUCCAAGUACAGUAGCGUCAGAAAGAUGACAUCCCAUCAGCCAUCAACUAGUCCAAAAAUCUUUCCAUUCUCACCAACUUACAUGUAUAAAGAAAAUAGGAAAAGAGACGUUAGAAAAGGAGAGAAGGAAACACUAUUUUCAAAGAUAAAUAUUUUGUCCAUAUAAAUAGGACGAGUUGGAUUGAAAAAUGGGAUCUAACAAUAUU
Solanum tuberosum (potato) is the source of this 1910-nucleotide long non-coding RNA. RefSeq lists it as uncharacterized. NCBI's taxonomy places the organism in Eukaryota, Viridiplantae, Streptophyta, Magnoliopsida, Solanales, Solanaceae. The transcript has 3 exons. The record is from RefSeq and is a predicted model, not a curated record.